RNAcentral lists this ribosomal RNA (497 nucleotides) under uncultured bacterium. RNAcentral's name for it is "partial 16S ribosomal RNA". It matches the Rfam family "Bacterial small subunit ribosomal RNA", at positions 28 to 507 of the family's 1533-position model. The record is from RNAcentral.
GAUGAACGCUGGCGGCGUGCCUAAUACAUGCAAGUCGAGCGAACAGAUGAGGAGCUUGCUCCUCUGACGUUAGCGGCGGACGGGUGAGUAACACGUGGAUAACCUACCUAUAAGACUGGGAUAACUUCGGGAAACCGGAGCUAAUACCGGAUAAUAUAUUGAACCGCAUGGUUCAAUAGUGAAAGACGGUUUUGCUGUCACUUAUAGAUGGAUCCGCGCCGCAUUAGCUAGUUGGUAAGGUAACGGCUUACCAAGGCAACGAUGCGUAGCCGACCUGAGAGGGUGAUCGGCCACACUGGAACUGAGACACGGUCCAGACUCCUACGGGAGGCAGCAGUAGGGAAUCUUCCGCAAUGGGCGAAAGCCUGACAGAGCAACGCCGCGUGAGUGAUGAAGGUCUUCGGAUCGUAAAACUCUGUUAUUAGGGAAGAACAAAUGCGUAAGUAACUAUGCACGUCUUGACGGUACCUAAUCAGAAAGCCACGGCUAACUACGUG